Molecule: ribosomal RNA, 468 nt
Filed under: uncultured bacterium
Lineage: Bacteria
Description: bacterial SSU rRNA
Rfam family: Bacterial small subunit ribosomal RNA
Source: RNAcentral
UUCCAGACUCCUACGGGAGGCAGCAGUGAGGAAUAUUGGUCAAUGGCCGAGAGGCUGAACCAGCCAAGUCGCGUGAGGGAAGACUGCCCUAUGGGUUGUAAACCUCUUUUGUCAGGGAGCAAUUGGCGCUACGUGUAGCGUUAUCGAGAGUACCUGAAGAAAAAGCAUCGGCUAACUCCGUGCCAGCAGCCGCGGUAAUACGGAGGAUGCGAGCGUUAUCCGGAUUUAUUGGGUUUAAAGGGUGCGUAGGCGGAAUGCCAAGUCAGCGGUAAAAUCGCGGGGCUCAACCUCGCUCCGCCGUUGAAACUGGCGUUCUUGAGUGGGCGAGAAGUAUGCGGAAUGCGUGGUGUAGCGGUGAAAUGCAUAGAUAUCACGCAGAACUCCGAUUGCGAAGGCAGCAUGCCGGCUCCACACUGACGCUGAGGCACGAAAGCGUGGGUAUCGAACAGGAUUAGAUACCCGUGUAUU